RNAcentral lists this transfer RNA (72 nucleotides) under Toxocara canis (dog roundworm). It matches the Rfam family "tRNA". Rfam says of the family: Transfer RNA (tRNA) molecules are approximately 80 nucleotides in length. Their secondary structure includes four short double-helical elements and three loops (D, anti-codon, and T loops). The record is from Rfam by way of RNAcentral. Lineage: Eukaryota; Metazoa; Nematoda; Chromadorea; Rhabditida; Toxocaridae.
GGGACAGUAGCGCAGUGGUAGAGCUCCCGCUUCACAUGCGGGAAAACCUGGGUUCGAUCCCUGGCUGCUUCC